RNAcentral lists this long non-coding RNA (322 nucleotides) under Anas platyrhynchos platyrhynchos (common mallard). RNAcentral describes it as "lncRNA (ENSAPLG00000026388.1)". The record is from RNAcentral. Lineage: Eukaryota; Metazoa; Chordata; Aves; Anseriformes; Anatidae.
CGAGGGGGCAGCCGCCCCUCCGCCGCCUCUCAGGUGGCCGCAGCCCCUCAGGAGCAACGCCCCGGGGCUCCAAGGGGGUGCCAGGGGCACGGGGGUGUCCCCCGACAUGGCAGGGGGACGUGUGGGGGUAGCCGGCCUGUCAGGUGGCUGUCGCCGUGUGUCUACCGAGAGCCAAACCCGCCGGCUCCCAGUCUUCGUUAAUUACCCCGGGAGAAACUGCAAGGAAGAGGACAGACACUUGAGGAAUGCUGAGUUUUUUGUAAGGGUUUUGCGCACAGAGAAGACUCAGAACACAUCUUCUGUAGCACCAGUCUGGAGGUGA